UACGAACCGUGCGAACGUUGUUCGGAUUCACUGGGCUUAAAGGGCGCGUAGGCGGGUUACCAAGUCAGGGGUGAAAUCUUUCGGCUCAACCGGAAAAGUGCCCCUGAUACUGGUAGUCUUGAGGGAGGUAGGGGCAUGUGGAACUUCCAGUGGAGCGGUGAAAUGCGUAGAUAUCGGAAGGAACGCCGGUGGCGAAAGCGACGUGCUGGAUCUCUUCUGACGCUGAGGCGCGAAAGCUAGGGGAGCGAACGGG
This 253-nucleotide ribosomal RNA is filed under the name uncultured bacterium. Its description in RNAcentral is "partial 16S ribosomal RNA". It matches the Rfam family "Bacterial small subunit ribosomal RNA", at positions 524 to 776 of the family's 1533-position model. The record is from RNAcentral.